This 454-nucleotide ribosomal RNA is filed under the name uncultured bacterium. RNAcentral describes it as "bacterial SSU rRNA". It matches the Rfam family "Bacterial small subunit ribosomal RNA", at positions 340 to 786 of the family's 1533-position model. The record is from RNAcentral.
UACGGAAGGCAGCAGUGGGGAAUAUUGCACAAUGGGCGAAAGCCUGAUGCAGCUAUGCCGCGUGUAUGAAGAAGGCCUUAGGGUUGUAAAGUACUUUCAUCGGGGAGGAAAAACAAAACUAAUAAUUUUAUUUCUUGACGUUACCCGAAAAAGAAGCACCGGCUAACUCCGUGCCAGCAGCCGCGGUAAUACGGAGGGUGCUAGCGUUAAUCAGAAUUACUGGGCGUAAAGAGCACGUAGGUGGUUUUUUUAAGUCAGAUGUGAAAUCCCUGGGCUUAACCUGGAACUGCAUUUUGAAACUGAAAUACUAGAGUAUCGUAGAGGGAGGUAGAAUUCUAGGUGUAGCGGUGAAACGCGUAGAUAUCUGGAGGAAUACCUGUGGCGAAAGCGGCCUCCUAAACGAAUACUGACACUGAGGUGCGAAAGCGUGGGGAGCAAACAGGGAUUAGAUACC